RNAcentral lists this ribosomal RNA (301 nucleotides) under uncultured bacterium. RNAcentral describes it as "partial 16S ribosomal RNA". It matches the Rfam family "Bacterial small subunit ribosomal RNA", at positions 509 to 807 of the family's 1533-position model. The record is from RNAcentral.
CAGUAGCCACGGUAAUACGUAGGGUGCAAGCGUUAAUCGGAAUCACUGGGCUUAAAGCGCGUGUAGGCGGAUGGGAACGUCGGUCGUUGAAAUCCCCCGGCUUAACCGGGGAAGUGGCGCCGAUACGACCCGUCUGGAGGAACGUAGGGGGAGCUGGAACUUCCGGUGGAGCGGUGAAAUGCGUUGAGAUCGGAAGGAACGCCCGUGGCGAAAGCGAGCUCCUGGACGUUUUCUGACGCUGAGACGCGAAAGCCAGGGGAGCGAACGGGAUUAGAUACCCCCGUAGUCCCUGUCUCUUAUA